This is a non-coding RNA of Aegilops tauschii subsp. strangulata, 1063 nucleotides long. The record is from RefSeq and is a predicted model, not a curated record. NCBI's taxonomy places the organism in Eukaryota, Viridiplantae, Streptophyta, Magnoliopsida, Poales, Poaceae.
CUGACUUGGGGCACUGGUUAAUUCUUCACAUGCAGGAACGUGGAGAGAUGGUGGGCUCCAAGCCCAUGGUGAUUUUAUUGUGCUUGCAGCUUGAGAUGUACUUGGUCCAAAUGAAAAUCAUCAUUUUGAAGGGCAACUUCGCAUGGAAUUAGGAUCACUUAAUAAGGUUCUGGUUUCUUUUUCAAAUUCACUUGCUUUAUGCAUGAACCUAUUAUAGAUUUUUUGGUGUUGAUUUGCAGUAAGAGCAAAUGUAAUAUUGUUCUCAUCAAUUUCUUUCAUAGCAUGUGUAAUGCGUUAUAACAUCAGUUUCAUUGGAUUGGAAAAGUUGAUAAACAUGCAACCAUUCUUACUCGAUGAUAUGAAUACUUCAGGAGCAAUAGUGGCAUUUGUUUGCACAUUAGUAUUCCAUUAUGUAGUAAAGGAUAUGGUCUGGUAGUCAUUCUUUAUCGUUAUAGUUAUUGUCAAAUGGUGGAAUAUUGCCGCCUAGCAGCUCUGGUUCAUGUGUGUGUGAAAAACAAUGUAAAAUCAUUUUUGUUGCUGUAGAAUCUCAUGAGUCGUAUGAAAAAGAAGGCUAGGAUAUUUAUAUUUUUUAAUUGUUCAGCUGCUUGUGUUACAGAUCUGGGCAUACCUUUUGUUUGAGAUAAAUUUGGGCAUAAAUUGUCACAAAUAAAUGGGUGGCGUUGGGUCAAGGUUCAGGACCCCAGGGGCAUCAUGCUUCUUUUGAGCCACAUGGGGAGAAUUACAUCCAUGUAUUAGAAAAACUAGGUGCCCGCUUAAACAGAAAAAAUACAACUCUUGCUGACCGGGAGCUUCAUGGUAGUGGCUAGAAUUUAAUCAGAGAUCCAUGUACAUGUUGAUUGUUAUGAAACCAUGCGAUGGAAUCUUGAUGUUGACAAUGUCCAGAAAUCUGAUUCGUCGGAGACAAAAUCCAACCUUAAUUCCCCCAUUCAGAUCAUGAAAUAUUGGGGUUAACAGUUUGCGAUGUAAGAUGGGUUGAGAUCUGCUAUACGUUAACUUUCUUUUGUUCAAAUGUUUUCUUUUGUUUUGAAACCUUAAUGUUUUC